AGCGGGGUGGAGCAGUGGUAGCUCGCCAGGCUCAUAACCUGGAGGUCGCAAGUUCAAUUCUUGCCCCCGCAACCA
This 75-nucleotide transfer RNA is filed under the name Candidatus Peribacteria bacterium RIFCSPHIGHO2_01_FULL_49_38. Its description in RNAcentral is "tRNA-Met". It matches the Rfam family "tRNA". From Rfam's summary of the family: Transfer RNA (tRNA) molecules are approximately 80 nucleotides in length. The record is from RNAcentral. RNAcentral also lists the same sequence under 1 other name. Lineage: Bacteria; Candidatus Peregrinibacteriota; Candidatus Peribacteria.